UCCAGCAGCCAUAUCACCCUGUAGCCCAAGACUUGUCGCCCACUGAUAAGCAGGGUUGAGCCUGGUCAGUACCUGGAUGGGAGACCUCCUGGGAAAACUAGGUUGCUGCUGGAA
Ribosomal RNA from Sinocyclocheilus anshuiensis, 114 nucleotides. Lineage: Eukaryota; Metazoa; Chordata; Actinopteri; Cypriniformes; Cyprinidae. The record is from Ensembl.